Molecule: ribosomal RNA, 254 nt
Filed under: uncultured bacterium
Lineage: Bacteria
Description: partial 16S ribosomal RNA
Rfam family: Bacterial small subunit ribosomal RNA
Source: RNAcentral
UACGGAGGGUGCGAGCGUUGUCCGGAAUCACUGGGCGUAAAGGGCGCGUAGGCGGCCUGAUAAGUAGGGGGUGAAAUCCUGCGGCUUAACCGCAGGGCUGCCUUCUAAACUGUCAGGCUGGAGCACAGUAGAGGCAGGUGGAAUUCCCGGUGUAGCGGUGGAAUGCGUAGAGAUCGGGAAGAACAUCAGUGGCGAAGGCGGCCUGCUGGGCUGUUGCUGACGCUGAGGCGCGACAGCGGUGGGGAGCAAACAGG